GCUUGUCUCAAAGAUUAAGCCAUGCAUGUCUAAGUAUAAACUUCUUUAUACCGUGAAACUGCGUACAGCUCAUUAUAUCAGUAAUGAUUUAUUUGAUGGUAUGUUCCUACAUGGAUAUCUGUAGUAAUUCUAGAGCUAAUACAUGCGUACAGUCCCAACCUCACGGAAGGGAUGUAUUUAUUAGAUGGAAACCAAUGCGGGGCAACCCGGAAUAUGGUGAUUCAUAAUAACUUUCGGAUCGUUUACGAUGCAUCAUUCAAGUUUCUGCCCUAUCAGCUUUGGAUGGUAGGGUAUUGGCCUACCAUGGCUUUAACGGGUAACGGAGAAUUAGGGUUCGAUUCCGGAGAGGGAGCCUGAGAAACGGCUACCACAUCCAAGGAAGGCAGCAGG
This 390-nucleotide ribosomal RNA is filed under the name Ochromonas tuberculata. RNAcentral describes it as "partial small subunit ribosomal RNA". It matches the Rfam family "Eukaryotic small subunit ribosomal RNA", at positions 30 to 432 of the family's 1831-position model. Lineage: Eukaryota; Chrysophyceae; Chromulinales; Chromulinaceae. The record is from RNAcentral.